UUUAAUAGUGUAUAAAAAGUGAGAACAGGUGAUUUAGUGAAUUUUUGUCGGGGUAAUUGCCCAUACAAAACAACGAAAUUUAACAAAAUGGUUAAUAAUAAAGUC
This is a long non-coding RNA of Rhagoletis zephyria (snowberry fruit fly), 105 nucleotides long. RefSeq lists it as uncharacterized. The record is from RefSeq and is a predicted model, not a curated record. NCBI's taxonomy places the organism in Eukaryota, Metazoa, Arthropoda, Insecta, Diptera, Tephritidae.